ACGUAGGGAGCAAGCGUUAAUCGGAAUUACUGGGCGUAAAGCGUGCGCAGGCGGCUAUGCAAGACCGAUGUGAAAUCCCCGGGCUCAACCUGGGAACUGCAUUAGUGACUGCAUAGCUGGAGUGCGGCAGAGGGGGAUGGAAUUCCGCGUGUAGCAUUGAAAUGCGUAGAUAUGCGGAGGAACACCGAUGGCGAAGGCAAUCCCCUGGGCCUGCACUGACGCUCAUGCACGAAUGCGUGGGGAGCAAACAG
This 251-nucleotide ribosomal RNA is filed under the name uncultured prokaryote. RNAcentral describes it as "partial 16S rRNA". It matches the Rfam family "Bacterial small subunit ribosomal RNA", at positions 525 to 775 of the family's 1533-position model. The record is from RNAcentral.